This 1700-nucleotide ribosomal RNA is filed under the name Belostomatidae sp. JRC-2012. RNAcentral's name for it is "SSU rRNA". It matches the Rfam family "Eukaryotic small subunit ribosomal RNA". The record is from RNAcentral. Lineage: Eukaryota; Metazoa; Arthropoda; Insecta; Hemiptera; Belostomatidae.
GUGGUAAUUCUAGAGCUAAUACAUGCAAACAAAGUCCCGACCAGUGAUGGAAAGGACGCUUUUAUUAGAUCAAAAUCAAUCGGCGGUUCACCCUCUCGCAGGGUGAGUGCCGCCGUUUAUUUUGGUGACUCUGAAUAACAAACCGGAUCGCACGGUCCUCGCACCGGCGACCCAUCUUUCAAAUGCCUGACUUAUCAACUGUCGAUGGUAGAUUUUACGUCUACCAUGGUUGUAACGGGUAACGGGGAAUCAGGGUUCGAUUCCGGAGAGGGAGCCUGAGAAACGGCUACCACAUCCAAGGAAGGCAGCAGGCACGCAAAUUACCCACUCCCGGCACGGGGAGGUAGUGACAAAAAAUAACGAUACGGGACUCAUCCGAGGCCCCGUAAUCGGAAUGAGAACACUCUAAAUCAUUUAACAAGGACCUAUUGGAGGGCAAGUCUGGUGCCAGCAGCCGCGGUAAUUCCAGCUCCAAUGUUGGUUCUGCGUCCCACGCUGUCGGUUCACCGUCUGUCGGUGCAACUGGCACGCCGUGGGAUGUCCUGUCGGUGGCGUCCUCCGAUCCGGCAGAGGUUUAGGGUCCGAAGCCCACCCCGGAGAAGGGGUCGCCGAACUAAUCCUACUUCGGUGCUCUUCAUUGAGUGUCGAGGUCGGCCGACACGUUUACUUUGAACAAAUUAGAGUGCUCAAAGCAGGCUGAAUUCCGCCUGAAUAGUGGUGCAUGGAAUAAUUGAAUAGGACCUCGGUUCUAUUUUGUUGGUUUUCUGAAUCCGAGGUAAUGAUCAAUAUGGACAAGCGGGGGCAUUCGUAUUGCGGCGUUAGAGGUGAAAUUCUUGGAUCGUCGCAAGACGGACUAGAGCGAAAGCAUUUGCCAAGUAUGUCUUAGUUGAUCAAGAACGAAAGUUAGAGGUUCGAAGGCGAUCAGAUACCGCCCUAGUUCUAACCAUAAACGAUGCCAGCCAGCGAUCCGCCGAUGUUCCUCCGAUGACUCGGCGGGCAGCUUCCGGGAAACCAAAGCUUUUGGGUUCCGGGGGAAGUAUGGUUGCAAAGCUGAAACUUAAAGGAAUUGACGGAAGGGCACCACCAGGAGUGGAGCCUGCGGCUUAAUUUGACUCAACACGGGGAACCUCACCAGGCCCGGACAUUGGAAGGAUUGACAGAUUGAUAGCUCUUUCUUGAUUCAAUGGGUAGUGGUGCAUGGCCGUUCUUAGUUGGUGGAACGAUUUGUCUGGUUAAUUCCGAUAACGAACGAGACUCUAGCCUGCUAAAUAGGCGCCGGUAUCAAUGCUACCGGCGUUACAAGUUCUUCUUAGAGGGACAGGCGGCUUUUAGCCGCACGAAAUUGAGCAAUAACAGGUCUGUGAUGCCCUUAGAUGUUCUGGGCCGCACGCGCGCUACACUGAAGGAAUCAGCGUGUUUCCCCCUGGUCCGAAAGGGCGGGCAACCCGCUGAACCUCUUUCGUGCUAGGAAUUGGGGAUUGCAAUUGUUCCCCAUGAACGAGGAAUUCCCAGUAAGCGCGGGUCAUGAGCUCGCGUUGAUUACGUCCCUGCCCUUUGUACACACCGCCCGUCGCUACUACCGAUUGAAUGAUUUAGUGAGGUCUUCGGACUGGUGAUGAGCGGCAACCGCUUCGGCGCUGCCGCUGUCACCGGGAAGAUGACCGAACUUGAUCAUUUAGAGGAAGUAAAAGUCGUAACAA